This 3071-nucleotide ribosomal RNA is filed under the name Campylobacter jejuni. Its description in RNAcentral is "23S ribosomal RNA". It matches the Rfam family "Bacterial large subunit ribosomal RNA". Lineage: Bacteria; Pseudomonadati; Campylobacterota; Epsilonproteobacteria; Campylobacterales; Campylobacteraceae. The record is from RNAcentral.
AAAAAAGGUAAGCUACUAAGAGCGAAUGGUGGAUGCCUUGACUGGUAAAGGCGAUGAAGGACGUACUAGACUGCGAUAAGCUACGGGGAGCUGUCAAGAAGCUUUGAUCCGUAGAUUUCCGAAUGGGGCAACCCAAUGUAUAGAGAUAUACAUUACCUAUAUAGGAGCGAACGAGGGGAAUUGAAACAUCUUAGUACCCUCAGGAAAAGAAAUCAAUAGAGAUUGCGUCAGUAGCGGCGAGCGAAAGCGCAAGAGGGCAAACCCAGUGCUUGCACUGGGGGUUGUAGGACUGCAAUGUGCAAGAGGUAAGUUUAGCAGAACAUUCUGGAAAGUAUAACCAUAGAGGGUGAUAGUCCCGUAUGCGAAAAACAAACCUUAGCUAGCAGUAUCCUGAGUAGGGCGGGACACGAGGAAUCCUGUCUGAAUCCGGGUCGACCACGAUCCAACCCUAAAUACUAAUACCAGAUCGAUAGUGCACAAGUACCGUGAGGGAAAGGUGAAAAGAACUGAGGUGAUCAGAGUGAAAUAGAACCUGAAACCAUUUGCUUACAAUCAUUCAGAGCCCUAUGUAGCAAUACAGGGUGAUGGACUGCCUUUUGCAUAAUGAGCCUGCGAGUUGUGGUGUCUGGCAAGGUUAAGCAAACGCGAAGCCGUAGCGAAAGCGAGUCUGAAUAGGGCGCUUAGUCAGAUGCUGCAGACCCGAAACGAAGUGAUCUAUCCAUGAGCAAGUUGAAGCUAGUGUAAGAACUAGUGGAGGACUGAACCCAUAGGCGUUGAAAAGCCCCGGGAUGACUUGUGGAUAGGGGUGAAAGGCCAAUCAAACUUCGUGAUAGCUGGUUCUCUCCGAAAUAUAUUUAGGUAUAGCGUUGUGUCGUAAUAUAAGGGGGUAGAGCACUGAAUGGGCUAGGGCAUACACCAAUGUACCAAACCCUAUCAAACUCCGAAUACCUUAUAUGUAAUCACAGCAGUCAGGCGGCGAGUGAUAAAAUCCGUCGUCAAGAGGGAAACAACCCAGACUACCAGCUAAGGUCCCUAAAUCUUACUUAAGUGGAAAACGAUGUGAAGUUACUUAAACAACCAGGAGGUUGGCUUAGAAGCAGCCAUCCUUUAAAGAAAGCGUAAUAGCUCACUGGUCUAGUGAUUUUGCGCGGAAAAUAUAACGGGGCUAAAGUAAGUACCGAAGCUGUAGACUUGCACACAAUUUAGAUUAUUUAAGUUUAGAAUAUGAGAAACUAAGUUAUAUGUUUAGUUAUAUUUUUACUGAUUUUUAUAGAGUAAAGAUAGAAAUAAAACUUAGUAAAAUCAGUAAAAAUAUUCUUAGACUAAAGUUAAGUAGUUUAAGUUGUGUGCAAGUGGUAGGAGAGCGUUCUAUUUGCGUCGAAGGUAUACCGGUAAGGAGUGCUGGAGCGAAUAGAAGUGAGCAUGCAGGCAUGAGUAGCGAUAAUUAAUGUGAGAAUCAUUAACGCCGUAAACCCAAGGUUUCCUACGCGAUGCUCGUCAUCGUAGGGUUAGUCGGGUCCUAAGUCGAGUCCGAAAGGGGUAGACGAUGGCAAAUUGGUUAAUAUUCCAAUACCAACAUUAGUGUGCGAUGGAAGGACGCUUAGGGCUAAGGGGGCUAGCGGAUGGAAGUGCUAGUCUAAGGUCGUAGGAGGUUGUACAGGCAAAUCCGUAUAACAAUACUCCGAGAACUGAAAGGCUUUUUGAAGUCUUCGGAUGGAUAGAAGAACCCCUGAUGCCGUCGAGCCAAGAAAAGUUUCUAAGUUUAGCUAAUGUUGCCCGUACCGUAAACCGACACAGGUGGGUGGGAUGAGUAUUCUAAGGCGCGUGGAAGAACUCUCUUUAAGGAACUCUGCAAAAUAGCACCGUAUCUUCGGUAUAAGGUGUGGUUAGCUUUGUAUUAGGAUUUACUCCGAAAGCAAGGAAACUUACAACAAAGAGUCCCUCCCGACUGUUUACCAAAAACACAGCACUCUGCUAACUCGUAAGAGGAUGUAUAGGGUGUGACGCCUGCCCGGUGCUCGAAGGUUAAUUGAUGGGGUUAGCAUUAGCGAAGCUCUUGAUCGAAGCCCGAGUAAACGGCGGCCGUAACUAUAACGGUCCUAAGGUAGCGAAAUUCCUUGUCGGUUAAAUACCGACCUGCAUGAAUGGCGUAACGAGAUGGGAGCUGUCUCAAAGAGGGAUCCAGUGAAAUUGUAGUGGAGGUGAAAAUUCCUCCUACCCGCGGCAAGACGGAAAGACCCCGUGGACCUUUACUACAGCUUGACACUGCUACUUGGAUAAGAAUGUGCAGGAUAGGUGGGAGGCUUUGAGUAUAUGACGCCAGUUGUAUAUGAGCCAUUGUUGAGAUACCACUCUUUCUUAUUUGGGUAGCUAACCAGCUUGAGUUAUCCUCAAGUGGGACAAUGUCUGGUGGGUAGUUUGACUGGGGCGGUCGCCUCCCAAAUAAUAACGGAGGCUUACAAAGGUUGGCUCAGAACGGUUGGAAAUCGUUCGUAGAGUAUAAAGGUAUAAGCCAGCUUAACUGCAAGACAUACAAGUCAAGCAGAGACGAAAGUCGGUCUUAGUGAUCCGGUGGUUCUGUGUGGAAGGGCCAUCGCUCAAAGGAUAAAAGGUACCCCGGGGAUAACAGGCUGAUCUCCCCCAAGAGCUCACAUCGACGGGGAGGUUUGGCACCUCGAUGUCGGCUCAUCGCAUCCUGGGGCUGGAGCAGGUCCCAAGGGUAUGGCUGUUCGCCAUUUAAAGCGGUACGCGAGCUGGGUUCAGAACGUCGUGAGACAGUUCGGUCCCUAUCUGCCGUGGGCGUAAGAAGAUUGAAGAGAUUUGACCCUAGUACGAGAGGACCGGGUUGAACAAACCACUGGUGUAGCUGUUGUUCUGCCAAGAGCAUCGCAGCGUAGCUAAGUUUGGAAAGGAUAAACGCUGAAAGCAUCUAAGCGUGAAGCCAACUCUAAGAUGAAUCUUCUCUAAGCUCUCUAGAAGACUACUAGUUUGAUAGGCUGGGUGUGUAAUGGAUGAAAGUCCUUUAGCUGACCAGUACUAAUAGAGCGUUUGGCUUAUCUUUAAUAAAGCAU